UGGGGUUUGGCAAGAAGGAACAGAUGUGGUCUUUAAUGAGCAACUUCAAAUAAUUCAGUAUGAUAGAGGUUAGUGGUACAGGUUGGUAGUUAUUCAGGCAGGUAACUACAGACUUUCAGGACAGGGAUGAUGGUGGUUUUCUCAAAGCAUGUGGGAAUCACUGAUAGUCUAAGGAAGAGGUUGAAAAUUUCUGUAAGCACCUCUGUUUGCUGGUUGGCACAUGAUUUGAGGACAUGGCCAUGAACACCAUCAGGACCAGCUGCUUUGUGGGGGUUGACUUCUGUAAGUGAUUUGGUUAAGUCAGUUUCACUUCAGGGAAAUUGUUGCUAUCUCAAAUUAUUUCUUGAUGUCAUUCAACUGAUCUGGCAGUGAGGCAGACAGAUCCAUUCAGCACAGGAGUUCUAGAAGACUGUGAUGAGGACUUUCAUGCAAAUGAUCGCAUACAUGUCAACGAUAGCAAUCAGAGAUGAGAACUCAGGAACAUAAAUCUGUCACAGCAAUUUCUGGAAUCUUUCUAUCCUCGCUCCAUUGACA
Molecule: long non-coding RNA, 534 nt
Organism: Carassius gibelio (silver crucian carp)
Lineage: Eukaryota; Metazoa; Chordata; Actinopteri; Cypriniformes; Cyprinidae
Exons: 3
Source: RefSeq, a predicted model, not a curated record